Non-coding RNA from Chelonia mydas (Green sea turtle), 83 nucleotides. The record is from Rfam. NCBI's taxonomy places the organism in Eukaryota, Metazoa, Chordata, Testudines, Cheloniidae.
GUCAGGGUGGCGGAGAGGUCCAAGGCGCUGUGUUAAGGUCGCAGUCUCCCCCGGAGACGUGGGUUUGAAUCUCACCCCUGACA